GAGCUGGAGCAGCAGCGAUGUCUCCUGCUGGCCAGGCUGAGGGAGCUGGAGCAGCAGAUUUGGAAGGAGAGGGAUGAAUAUAUCACAAAGGUCUCUGAGGAAGUCACCCGGCUUGGAGCCCAGGUCAAGGAGCUGGAGGAGAAGUGUCAGCAGCCAGCAAGUGAGCUUCUACAAGAUGUCAGAGUCAACCAGAGCAGGUGUGAGAUGAAGACUUUUGUGAGUCCUGAGGCCAUUUCUCCUGACCUUGUCAAGAAGAUCCGUGAUUUCCACAGGAAAAUACUCACCCUCCCAGAGAUGAUGAGGAUGUUCUCAGAAAACUUGGCGCAUCAUCUGGAAAUAGAUUCAGGGGUCAUCACUCUGGACCCUCAGACCGCCAGCCGGAGCCUGGUUCUCUCGGAAGACAGGAAGUCAAGUGCAGAACCACAGACGGCUUCGGCUGUGCCUAGGGCAACAGCCAACCUAGGAGCCAGCGGGCUUUCGGGGAAAAAAAAGAAAAAGACAUCUAAAAUAAAAUGUUUAAACUGUUUCAAAAUAA
RNAcentral lists this unclassified non-coding RNA (535 nucleotides) under Homo sapiens (human). RNAcentral's name for it is "tripartite motif containing 15 (multiple genes)". The record is from RNAcentral. Lineage: Eukaryota; Metazoa; Chordata; Mammalia; Primates; Hominidae.